UAUCCAUAUCUAAAAAAAAAGUAUGUAAAAAGAUCACCGCAACAUCGGUCAAUGAGAUUGAAGUGCUUUUUCUCACUACAACAAUACCUCAUACUUAUUACAAUAAAAUUGUGUGUAAAAAAACGCUGGUUGGAGGUGUCCCACUAUUUUUUUCAUUGGACGUCCCAAUGCUAGCAUUACCGUUUUAUAUUUUUGUGAUUAUUACAAACACCACUCACGUGAAUAUCACUCUUACAGUUGACUUUACAAAGCUACCAUUGGAAAGAGAAGAAAUCUUAUAAGCUUAAAAAACGGAUAUUUUUUAUAGGUGACGUGCCAGGUCACGGUGCUAGCGUGGAGGCACGUUAAAAAUAAGACGAAGCUACCCCUACCCUGCUCCUCCUCUCUCUCUCUCUCCCCCUCCUUCAGCUGGGUCCCGCAACUCCUCUCACUGCCAGGUGGGCCCCACCUUUCAGCUUCAUCUCUCACCUUCAGUUUGAGGAGCAGGAGCGCCC
RNAcentral lists this long non-coding RNA (494 nucleotides) under Panicum hallii. Its description in RNAcentral is "long non-coding RNA (PHAL_LNC000098)". Lineage: Eukaryota; Viridiplantae; Streptophyta; Magnoliopsida; Poales; Poaceae. The record is from RNAcentral.